AACCUCCGCAAUGUGAGAAAUCGCGACGGGGGGAUCCCAAGUGCCAUUCUUAACGGGAUGGCUUUUCAUUAGUGUAAAGAGCUUUUGGAAUAAGAGCUGGGCAAGACCGGUGCCAGCCGCCGCGGUAACACCGGCAGCUCUAGUGGUAGCAAUUUUUAUUGGGCCUAAAGCGUCCGUAGCCGGUUUAAUAAGUCUCUGGUGGAAUCCUGUAGCUUAACUGUGGGAAUUGCUGGAGAUACUAUUAGACUUGAGACCGGGAGAGGUUAGAGGUACUCCCAGGGUAGAGGUGAAAUUCUGUAAUCCUGGGAGGACCGCCUGUUGCGAAGGCGUCUAACUGGAACGGUUCUGACGGUGAGGGACGAAAGUUAGGGGCGCGAACCGGAUUAGAUACCCGGGUAGUCCUAACUGUAAACGAUGCGGACUUGGUGUUGGGGUGGCUUUGAGCUGCUCCAGUGCCGAAGGGAGCUGUUAAGUCCGCCGCCUGGGAGGUACGGUCGCAAGACUGAAACUUAAAGGAAUU
RNAcentral lists this ribosomal RNA (520 nucleotides) under uncultured bacterium. Its description in RNAcentral is "bacterial SSU rRNA". It matches the Rfam family "Archaeal small subunit ribosomal RNA", at positions 345 to 866 of the family's 1478-position model. The record is from RNAcentral.